RNAcentral lists this non-coding RNA (25 nucleotides) under Cricetulus griseus (Chinese hamster). The record is from RNAcentral. Lineage: Eukaryota; Metazoa; Chordata; Mammalia; Rodentia; Cricetidae.
CCAUUAUCUGAAGUUGCCUGAAUAC